This 492-nucleotide ribosomal RNA is filed under the name uncultured bacterium. RNAcentral describes it as "partial 16S ribosomal RNA". It matches the Rfam family "Bacterial small subunit ribosomal RNA", at positions 29 to 507 of the family's 1533-position model. The record is from RNAcentral.
AGUGUACGCUGGCGGUAGGCCUAACACAUGCAAGUCGAACGGCAGCACAGUAAGAGCUUGCUCUUACGGGUGGCGAGUGGCGGACGGGUGAGGAAUACAUCGGAAUCUACUUUUUCGUGGGGGAUAACGUAGGGAAACUUACGCUAAUACCGCAUACGACCUACGGGUGAAAGCAGGGGAUCUUCGGACCUUGCGCGAUUGAAUGAGCCGAUGUCGGAUUAGCUAGUUGGCGGGGUAAAGGCCCACCAAGGCGACGAUCCGUAGCUGGUCUGAGAGGAUGAUCAGCCACACUGGAACUGAGACACGGUCCAAACUCCUACGGGAGGCAGCAGUGGGGAAUAUUGGACAAUGGGCGCAAGCCUGAUCCAGCCAUACCGCGUGGGUGAAGAAGGCCUUCGGGUUGUAAAGCCCUUUUGUUGGGAAAGAAAAGCAGCAGGUUAAUACCCCGCUGUUCUGACGGUACCCAAAGAAUAAGCACCGGCUAACUUCGUG